AGUUGGGCCGUUCCUGAGGUGGGCAUUGGGCGGAUUAAUGGGGUGUAGGCCGGGGAGGGGGUGUCCGGAUUCCUGAGGCGGGGGUCCUGGGAUGCAGGCAGGGGUCGCCGUCGGAACUGACAAACCGGGACGGACCCCUGCAGUAUAACGUGACCGGACCCUGUGACGACGUGUCGGGUGUGACCGGGUAACUCUCCUCACUACCCGCCGACACCUCCCCCCCCAGGCGGAGCCGCAGCCUGCGGUGACACCCACAUGGCGGCCUCGGGCAGCUCAGAUAGCCAGUGAGGAGGAUGUAUCAUGCCGCAUUCGUUACCUCAGAGGUAGGCCGCAGGCGAGGAACUACAAGGCCCAGCACGCCUGUCAGGAAGAGACCCCAUAUCAGCUAUGCGUCUUUGUAGUUUCUCCCGUAUUUCAUGAGACUCUGCUGCUGACAUGGCAUGCUGGGUCUUGUAGUCCUACAGCUCCUAGAAACCCUCAUCUCAUGGUGGUUGUAGUAACAGCAGGACUAAAGAGAUCCCAUAUAUGAUGGGUAUAAUAUGCCAGCCCCUCGUACGCUGCGACAUCUCCGCUCACGUGACUGCACCCCCCGCUGUCCUCCUGUCGGGAGUAACACAAAAAGACGCUUGGGGCUACUAACUCGUGAGCAAGCCACGUAAAGCUGACCAUGGGAGAAGCAGCUGGUCCUGAGAUCUCACCAGCAGCCCUGAGCGUUUGUACCUGUUGAUCGUCAGAACGAAGCAGACGCUUACAGGAAACUGCAGGCGCUUGAACUGAAAAGGACAAUUGUUGGGGAUAAGAGGUAUACGUGGUAUAAACACAGUCUCACCUGCAUCAUAUCCUGUUAAUAUCUCUGCCUCAAUUAGGUUCCUCUGCAGAGCAGUCACUACAAGUCCGGUUCCGUUGCAUAACUUGGGCGGAGUCAUAUUCCGCAGAAGUAUGAUCGGAACGCCAACUUUCAGUGCGCUGAGCGUCAAGCGUCUGUUUUUUCAUUUAUUGCUCCCCUCCAACACAUUGAAAUCACACAUACCUUUCUAGGUCACUAAGUUAUACAAUAGUUAAAACGCUAUCCAAAUUCAUCCAAUAGUUUUUGCAUGAUGCCGGAACGAACAGACAAACAAAAAUGUCGUUUUUUUUUUUUUUUCCAUC
Molecule: long non-coding RNA, 1149 nt
Organism: Pseudophryne corroboree (corroboree frog)
Lineage: Eukaryota; Metazoa; Chordata; Amphibia; Anura; Myobatrachidae
Exons: 3
Source: RefSeq, a predicted model, not a curated record